GCCCGAUUAGCUCAGCUGGUUAGAGCGUCGUACUAAUAUCAUCUCACAAAGAUAAUAUCUAGUCAAUGCGAAGGUCAACAGUUCAAUCCUGUUAUUGGGCA
This is a non-coding RNA of Cladorrhinum sp. PSN332, 101 nucleotides long. Lineage: Eukaryota; Fungi; Ascomycota; Sordariomycetes; Sordariales; Podosporaceae. The record is from the annotation of a GenBank genome assembly.